Non-coding RNA from Pelobates cultripes (western spadefoot toad), 213 nucleotides. The record is from the annotation of a GenBank genome assembly. Lineage: Eukaryota; Metazoa; Chordata; Amphibia; Anura; Pelobatidae.
CCGACAGUAGUUCCAUGGCACUAAACACACAUGCCAGGGCGGACCUGACCAUGUGGCAAACUUUCCUGUCCCACUGGAACAGGAAACCAGUGUUCAUUCCCCCAAAAAUCGGACGUUUCACCUGUACUCUGGACGAUUGCCGCAGCCUACUCUGGUUUUGUUGCCAUUUACGAAAAAACCUGGUUCCUGGACACCUGGCCUGUGGAAAUCCAG